This 231-nucleotide ribosomal RNA is filed under the name uncultured bacterium. Its description in RNAcentral is "partial 16S ribosomal RNA". It matches the Rfam family "Bacterial small subunit ribosomal RNA", at positions 524 to 754 of the family's 1533-position model. The record is from RNAcentral.
UACGUAGGGUGCGAGCGUUAAUCGGAAUUACUGGGCGUAAAGCGUGCGCAGGCGGUUCGCCAAGUCAGGUGUGAAAUCCCCGGGCUUAACCUGGGAAUUGCGCUUGAUACUAGCGAGCUUGAGUGUGGCAGAGGGGGGUGGAAUUCCACGUGUAGCAGUGAAAUGCGUAGAGAUGUGGAGGAACACCGAUGGCGAAAACAGCCCCCUAAGUCAACACUAACGCUCAUACAC